Vicia villosa (hairy vetch) is the source of this 2111-nucleotide long non-coding RNA. RefSeq lists it as uncharacterized. The transcript is spliced from 3 exons. Lineage: Eukaryota; Viridiplantae; Streptophyta; Magnoliopsida; Fabales; Fabaceae. The record is from RefSeq and is a predicted model, not a curated record.
ACGCAAUUGAAAGAGGGGCUAGGGUUACCUCAAUGCGCCGUUUCAACUUCUACAUCAACCUAUCUCUUUCUCACUCUCGACUCCCUCUCUCGAAAGAACGGCGCCGGACCACCCUAUCGUCUCCGAUUGCGACCUAGCGCCGCCGUGAACCAAACAUCCCAGCAAAAUCCCAACCUGGAGGGAAGCACGCAGGCGAAGCAAAUGAGAUACCCGAGAAGAAACUCCGAAGAAUGUGCGAAACGAAUGCUGAGUCCUUAAGAUAGAUUUCAAUUUGAAGCCGAUACGGAAGCGGCGACGACAAAUUCCUCAGGUUGCUGAAGAUUCAAUGAAGUUGCUCGUGGCUUUGAAGAACCGAUGCGAAGGUGAUGAUUGAAGUGAUGUGCGAUGAUGAACAAUGCGAUGAUGAUGAUGAUGAAGCGUUAAAUGAUAGUUGUCGUUGAAGAUUAUGGUAGAUUGAAUUGAGGGAGAUACUGGCAAGUUCUGCAGAAUUGUGGUUAUCAAUGGAGAUUGAAGGUGGUGAAGUUCUUUUCUGUUGGUGAGUGAAGAAGAAGAUUGAAGGUUCUAUUUUUUUGAAGAUUGAAGCAUGGAAUUGGGAAUGGGAGCAUGGAGUGUGAAGUGGUGAAGAAGAUGAGAAAUGAAGGUGAAGAAAAAUGGAGGAGCAGUGAAGAAUGGCUGAGAUGAGAAAAGAUCGAGAGCCUGAAGUUGCAGAGGUGAAGAAGUGUGGAUUUGUGGAGAGUGAAGGUUAUGCCAAUGGAGGAGUGAAUUAUGGAGAAUGAAUGGAGAAGAGAGAUGAGGAAUGAGAAGUGAUGAAGAAAGUGAAGAAUGGUGGUUGAAGAGUGUGAAGAGAUGAAGAUGAAGAUGGUGUGAAAAAUGGUGGAGAGUGAGAAAAAAUGGAGAAAAACUUUGAAUAGAAGGGAGGUCUGAAUUUAUAGAAGUGGAGGUUGAUGGAUUCAGUUAGAGGGAAGAGGUGUGAGCCAUUGGAUUUUGAUUUUCUGUUAUGAAUUGAAGGGUUAAGAUCUGUCAGUUAUGAUUCUGUUUUAACUGUUAUGCUGAAGGUUAGUUAGUUUGUUACAAACUGUUAGGGAAUCAGUUAGUGGUUAUUGGUAGUUACAAGUUUGGUUAGGAGGUUAUGAAUCUGUUAUUGUUGUUACACAGGCUGUUAGCUUUUAGUUGGUUAAAUCAGUUAGGAAAGUAGUAACUGAUUUUUGGGAAAUUCGUUAGGGUUAUUGAUAUGGUUAAAAAGAGGUUAGUUCUGUUAGAGAAAGAAACAAAUGAGGCUGACUGAGAGUUAAUUGGAUAGAGUUUGGAAGGUUAAAGUUAAUUUGAAAGCUGUUAGUUAAUUGGUUAAAGGGUUCUGUUAUGGUUCGGUUAGUUUAGAAAUUGUUUUGUACUAGGUUUAUUGUGGAACUGUAUUUUCUGUUAUGUAUUGUGAUUUUGAUAUCGGUUUGAAUGUAUGCAGGUGAGUGUGUGGAUUUGUUGAUGUCAAUUCUGUUUCUUUGAAUCUCUGCUGCCUGAGGUUGUUUGAAAUCCUUUAAGAAUACGUACUGUAAUGAGCUGUUAGAAAUAAUACUCGUGUUGAACUGCCCAAACUUCUUUGAACAAAUUUCCCUGCUUGCUUUUAGUACUGAUUGUUUGAUAACUUGUGUAUAGGUGAAACUCUGGUUUUGGUAUGUGGAUUCAAGUAAUAAUUACUACUGUUUUUUUUGGUUCAUUCCUCAGGAGCUUUGGAAGAUCUAUCACCUUCCUUAUUAAAUAACUGGGAAGUACCAGAUGACAUGGAGGGAUAGGCCUGGAAGCUUGCAUCUCGACGAACCAUUCGAAGAUUAUAUGAGACAGUUGAGCUUCCAACAUGGACUGGAUGCUGAAGGAAAGAGCCAUGCGUUUGCUGGUUCAUUGCAAUUGAAUUUACUGGCUGAAUUGGGGAGAAACGGAACCUUAGGAUAGUCUAAGCACAUCAAAAAUCAAUAACAGUGUCAAAACCUAUGUUGUGAUUUCAAUUCUGAUUUUUGUAAUGGGCUUUUUGCUGUUUGUAACUAUUUGUAAGCAACUUGACCACCAAUGUAAUUUGCAGGUUCCUUUGACUUUCCUUAUUUCAAACCGAAUUGAAUUCU